AGAAGCUUGCUUCUCUGAUGUUAGCGGCGGACGGGUGAGUAACACGUGGAUAACCUACCUAUAAGACUGGGAUAACUUCGGGAAACCGGAGCUAAUACCGGAUAAUAUUUUGAACCGCAUGGUUCAAAAGUGAAAGACGGUCUUGCUGUCACUUAUAGAUGGAUCCGCGCUGCAUUAGCUAGUUGGUAAGGUAACGGCUUACCAAGGCAACGAUGCAUAGCCGACCUGAGAGGGUGAUUGGCCACACUGGAACUGAGACACGGUCCAGACUCCUACGGGAGGCAGCAGUAGGGAAUCUUCCGCAAUGGGCGAAAGCCUGACGGAGCAGCGCCGCGUGAGUGAUGAAGGUCUUCGGAUCGUAAAACUCUGUUAUUAGGGAAGAACAUAUGUGUAAGUAACUGUGCACAUCUUGACGGUACCUAAUCAGAAAGCCACGGCUAACUACGUGCCAGCAGCCGCGGUAAUACGUAGGUGGCAAGCGUUAUCCGGAAUUAUUGGGCGUAAAGCGCGCGUAGGCGGUUUUUUAAGUCUGAUGUGAAAGCCCACGGCUCAACCGUGGAGGGUCAUUGGAAACUGGAAAACUUGAGUGCAGAAGAGGAAAGUGGAAUUCCAUGUGUAGCGGUGAAAUGCGCAGAGAUAUGGAGGAACACCAGUGGCGAAGGCGACUUUCUGGUCUGUAACUGACGCUGAUGUGCGAAAGCGCGGGGAUCAAACAGGAUUAGAUACCCUGGUAGUCCACGCCGUAAACGAUGAGUGCUAAGUGUUAGGGGGUUUCCGCCCCUUAGUGCUGCAGCUA
Molecule: ribosomal RNA, 796 nt
Filed under: uncultured Staphylococcus sp.
Lineage: Bacteria; Bacillati; Bacillota; Bacilli; Caryophanales; Staphylococcaceae
Description: bacterial SSU rRNA
Rfam family: Bacterial small subunit ribosomal RNA
Source: RNAcentral